CUCACAAAGAUGAGUGGUGAAAAUCUGAUC
RNAcentral lists this non-coding RNA (30 nucleotides) under Callithrix jacchus (white-tufted-ear marmoset). RNAcentral also lists the same sequence under 1 other name. Lineage: Eukaryota; Metazoa; Chordata; Mammalia; Primates; Cebidae. The record is from RNAcentral.